Stegodyphus mimosarum is the source of this 73-nucleotide non-coding RNA. NCBI's taxonomy places the organism in Eukaryota, Metazoa, Arthropoda, Arachnida, Araneae, Eresidae. The record is from Rfam.
GCCUUUGUGGUGUAGUGGUCAGCACGAUCGACGUGUAUUCGAGAGGUCCGUGGUUCGAGUCCGGGCGAGGGCA